GUGGGGAAUCUUCCGCAAUGGACGAAAGUCUGACGGAGCGACGCCGCGUGAGUGAAGAAGGCCUUCGGGUCGUAAAGCUCUGUCAUCAGGGACGAACGGCCGGUGGAGUGGAAAGCCACCGGAUUGACGGUACCUGAGAAGGAAGCCACGGCUAACUACGUGCCAGCAGCCGCGGUAAUACGUAGGUGGCAAGCGUUGUCCGGAAUUAUUGGGCGUAAAGCGCGCGCAGGUGGGAUCUUAAGUCCAUUUUGAAAGUUCGGAGCUCAACUCCGUGAUGGGAUGGAAACUGGGAUUCUUGAGUACCGGAGAGGAAAGCGGAAUUCCUAGUGUAGCGGUGAAAUGCGUAGAUAUUAGGAAGAACACCAGUGGCGAAGGCGACUUUCUGGACGAAAACUGACGCUGAGGCGCGAAAGCCAGGGGAGCGAACGGGAUUAGAUACCCCUGUAGUCC
Molecule: ribosomal RNA, 450 nt
Filed under: uncultured bacterium
Lineage: Bacteria
Description: partial 16S ribosomal RNA
Rfam family: Bacterial small subunit ribosomal RNA
Source: RNAcentral